Molecule: long non-coding RNA, 3496 nt
Filed under: Homo sapiens (human)
Lineage: Eukaryota; Metazoa; Chordata; Mammalia; Primates; Hominidae
Description: HSALNT0401409
Source: RNAcentral
UCCUGCAAAUGGCAGAUGAGAGGAGUCACAGGUUUUCUCUCCUCUUAAUUAUUCAGAUCUUGGCACCUGAGGAGCAGACCAGCUGGGGUUAGGAAUCCAAAGCAGGGCAGGAUCCGUCCACACACUCGUGUGUUUAUUUAUUUAUGCAGCUCCAGCAAAGAAAAUUAAAAACAGGGCUGGCCCCUGGCUGGGAGAUGGAGCCUGACACUGCAUAUGCGUCUGUGAGACUCAGUCUGGUCCCGGAUGCCCGACUCCUCGAGGUCUGUCUGUGCACUGGGCCAAGGCCCUGCUGGCCACAGAACAUAGGCGGUGAGGGCUGCAUAGGGAGGGGCUGUGGUUUCAGAGGCUGACGCAGCUGGCUGGCCUUCUGCUCCUUGUCUCCCGGAGGCUCCCUGCCCUCAGCAAUAGAAGAAUAAAAGUUGUUGAGAAGUCACUCUGGCAAUCCCCUGCCCACCAAGAACAGGCGCUAUCAAGAGUGGAUAUUGCAGAAACGCUUCCUCUCCCUACAAACCUUCCAGGUGCCCUGGUCUUUGCCAGAACCAAACAGUGGUCACAGCUAGGACCUGCACCGGGGGUCCUGAAUCCACCUUGCCCGGUGCCCAGAUGCCCCUCCUGCUCUCUGGAUGGAGCCCACCCUCAACAAGCACUCCGGCAGGACCAGGUUCCAUGAAGACAAUGCCACUUGGAAUCUGAUAACAAUUGCGGGUCCAGAUGACUCUCGUGGGCAGCAUCCUCCAUGUGGACUCAGCCAUCCAGGUGGCCUCUAUCCUGCAGUGUCCACCUCACAGCUCUGGCACCAUCAUGGUGCAGAGUGCAGCCCUAGGAAGAUGGGAGACCCAGGAACUGGCCCUGUCUCUGCUGAUAGCUCCGUCAGCUUGAAUGAGGUCUAAGCCCCACGGACACUCUGCAUAAAGAAGCAUGCAUGUUGUGUAGGUAACGGGGUUGGAACUGUUGUGGUCAUUGCUUCAUGAGGGAAACUAGAUAGGGAUAGCACCAGGGAUGGCAGGCUGGAGCCUGGGGAGGGCGGAUCACAGAGAAGCUCUGUGACGUCGUCUGGGGUUAGGAACCCAUGAAAAGACUGAACUUCCUAUUAGGCAGGGAGAAAAUGGGGAGGGUCUGGCUUGAUGUCUCUUGGAGAAAUCUGGAUUACACAAAUAUGUGAGGCCAGGAAACCAACAAGGAAAACAUGACCUGUCUUUGCUGAUAAUGAUUGUCCUAUCUGCAUAAACUCACAAGGAUGGAAUAAGAAUAAAACCAACAACACACUUCCGCCAAGACUUGACAGUUUGCAAAGCAUUUUAAAAUACAAAGCCAACUCUGUUAAUGGUAACUUGGAUAGAUGUUCCAGCUUCAGUCCAAAUAUCUUACAGAUAUUUACUUUAGUCCUCAUAGCAUGACUAUCUUUAUUUCACAAUGAGGAAACUGAGCUAAGUAUUUUACCCGAGGUUUUACAGUUAGUAGCCAAGACAGGAUUCGAACCCAGGUAUCUGGCUCUAGAAGCCACACACUGAACUCUGCAUCCAGCAGCCUCUGCAGAAAACACAAUAAAACUCUUCUGAUGAUGCCAGUGGCUGGAAUUCCACCACUUAUACAGAACAAUAGGGCUGGAGUUGCUCUGAGAGAAUCAUGUCUAUUUCGAGGAAGUUGAGGAAAAAUAUACCUAAAUUUUGUUUUGGUGUAGUCUAAUCCUACAGUAUAAAGAACUUUUGUAUUGCAUUUGAAUUCUUUUAUUUAUUCUUUCAUGAGCAAAAACUUUUUGCACACUUACUGUGUUCCAGGUUCUGUUCUAAGCUUGUGCAGUGCAUGCUACCUCAUGCAACCUUUGCAACAACUCUCCCUGCUAGGGGGCCACUCUUUCCUAAAGCAGGCAGGGGCCCAGAACAGGCUGUUCCAGGCCUCCUCUAUGCCUUAUUAUCACAGAGAGAGCAUAGAAUAUUCCUCAAGCAACAAGAAAGAGCAAGGAAAUACAUGUUCAAUGCAGACAUCCACGUUUGUGUCAUCUCAGAGGAAGGAACAGGAUCACCCGUUCCCUCCAAGGGAAAAUAUACCCUUUUCUUUGCUUUUAUUGGUUUUAAGGCCUGGGACAGUAGUUCUCCACCUUCUUGGGUCACAUUGCCUUUCACUCUGCCAGAUUCUGUUUCCUUUCUGUGACACGAGGAUAGAAAUAACACGCAUGGCAAUGGAUUGGGGUGGUAUUCCAACGAAAUAAUGUAACGAUGGCCCUUUGUGAAGUGGAAUUCAUACAUUCAUUCACUCAUGCAUUCAACACAUUUACUGAGGGCCUAUUAUGUGCCAAGCUCCUCUUGAAGUCUCUGAGGCCUGAAGAGUGAAGACAGAAUAGAUGCUAAAGGCAGAUUUCUGGAACAAACUGCCUGGGGUCAAAUACUAGCCUCAUUACUCACUAACUAUGGGAAAGUUAAGUAUAAAACCUGACUCAAAGGGUUAGUGUCAAGUUUAAAGAAGUUAAUAUCUGUAAAACAUUUAAAAUAGUUCCUGGCAUAGAGUAAGUUCCAGAAAUCCUUUGAUAAUAAAAAAAUAUUUUUGAAAAGAACAACUAAGAAAAAUUACAUUCAGUAUUUCUACCUAAGGAGAUAUGGCUGUAUAUUUUACCUUAAAAAUAUCAGAGAUGUUAAAAUAAUAGAACAAUAAAUAGAAUAAUAAACAUCUGUAUAACUUUUUAAAAAGAUUUAAAGCCCACAUUUUGUGUUUUUUUUUUUUUUUUUUUUUUUUUUUAUGGAAACAGAGUCUUGCUCUGUCACCCAGGCUGGAGUGCAGUGGCGCCAUCUCGCUCCACCUCCCAGGUUCAUGCCAUUCUCCUGCCUCAGCCUCCAGAGUAGCUGGGACUACAGGUGCACGCCACCAAGCCCAGUAAAGCCCACAUUUUCUAAAUGUGAAAUAAAAUUUUAAUUCUUAAUCAUUAGCCAUCAAGAACACACAGAUAUCUAGAAUGCCCUAACUUAUUAAUGUCUUAAUGUAUUAGUUCAAGUCUCAAAAGCUUAAAGCAAUAAAAUGUAUUACCUGCUGAAGUAAACCCUCAUAUACCUGUGAUAGCAGUUCCUCCACCAUCAAGAAUCUGGAAAAAGGAGGAAAGCCUAGAAAACAACAACAACAACAAAACACUGCUUCUUAAAGAUAUCAACCCCAAAGUGACACCUAUCACUUCCUCUUUCAUGUCACUGGCCACCCCCACCUUCACUGAGAAGAAAAAGGUUAAUUCGACUACACACCUGACUUCACUGUUUGAUCAUCUGAUUGUGGACAAGUCACUUAAUUUGACUGUAUUUCAGUUUCCUUGUUUGUUAAAUGAAAACAGAAACAGUGCUUUGCUCAUGGCAUUGUCAUGAGACUUAAAUCAUACACAAAAAUGUUAGCUAUAAUGACAAUGUGAUCUACCCACAGAAAAUAUAAAGUAUUAUUUGUGUGUGCAUGUCUGUUUAAUGUGAGUAGUAUCAGACUACAUUUCCAAUGCCGAUAAAAAUGUGUGAUCUGACUGAAA